AGAAAUAUCAUGUGGCAUCAGUCCUGUGCCAAAAGGCCAAGGUGACCAUGAGCUAACUGGAGUCAACAAGUAUAUCCACUAUGACCUCCUAGAAAAGAAAAUUAACAGUGUUAACGAAUGAUUGAACCAGGCUCUGAUCCUCUUGGAGAUCAUGUAUGGAUACCUAGAUGACCCCAGGCAACUGAACAGAGUAAGAUGUACCUGCAUAGGCAUUCAGGAUACUAUGGACCGUAUGGCCACAGUGCAGUUCAUAAGCAGAGAGGUGGCCAAAUGGCCAUAUCAUCCACCAUCCACUGUGAUCACCAGACAAGGCUCAGCUCAGGGAAAAGAAAGGUCUGUGCCAGGCCAAGGACAUAAAUCAGAAAGUAUAAUUUCCUAGCAACUGCAGAUGUGAACUACAGUGUGGGCUUUUAGAAGAUGGACCUAGAAUCAAUCACCAGAUCAUUCUUGAAAGCUACAUAUACCCCAGGAUUCUUCUUAUUCCACUACUCCCACACCUCAAUAGUGGUGGCUUGCAGAGCAUAUACACUGGAGCUGGGGAGGCUGAUGCAGUGGACGGCAGGAUUGAAAUUAUUUAGGAGUUGAAGUGCCACAAGAUGAAUGGUGUGAAGCUGACAGGCACAAUCUCAAGCUAGAUCUGAUCCACAGAUGUGAUCCUGAAGGUGGCACACGCGUACUGUGGAGUACCAGCAGCCUAGCAUACAGCCCAUCUCAUACAUUGGCCUGAUGAUAAUCUGAACACGGGUGUAGAAAUUGGGGCCCUCAGUGUUCUCUUAGAACCACGGAAUAAAGCAAUAACUGGGUAAGACAGGCUAAGGAGACAAUGCCAAUCCAAGAUAAAAUCAAGGAUCACUUGGUACCUGACCCUGAUUGCCAUUAUAAAUGACAGGUAAAAAUUAACCUCAACAAGCUGAAGCCCCAUGUAAAUAAGCCCUUUACCCCGACCUAGCCCACACUGUGGAAGAAGUAGGUACUGUGGUGGAGAAGGAGGGAUGGCCUUUGGACAUCAAAGUGGGUCUGAUCAACAGCUGUACCAACUCAAGCUAUGAGGACAUCAGGUGCUCAACAGCUAUGGCCAAGCAAGUGCUAGCUCAUGGGCUCAAGUGCAAGUCACAGCUCACCACAGCACUGGGAUCUAAGCAGAUCUACACUAAUAUUGAGCAUAAGAGUUAUUCACAGAUCCCAUAGGAUAUGGCAGGCAUUGUCCUGGCCACUGUCUGUGGCCCCUGCAUUGGCCAGUGGAACAGGUAGGACAUAAUAAAGAUGGAGAAAAAUGCAAUCUUCACCUCCUACAAGAGGAACUUGACAGGCCACAAUAAAGCAAACCUGAGGCCCAAGCCUUCAUCAUGUCCCUAGAGAUCCUCAAGCCCUGGCCAUUUCUGUCACCAUCAACUUCAACCAAGAGAUUUACUUCCUGACAACCAUGUAUGGGAAGAAGUACAAAUUGGAGGCUCCAGAUGCAGAUGAGCUUCCCUAAGCAGAGUUGACUCCAGGAAGGACAACUACCAGCACCCCUACCACAAGGAUAUCAGUAGGCAGAGGGUGGAUAUGAGCACACCCAACAAGUGCCUACAGCUCCUGGAGCCUUUUGACAAGUGGGAAGGCAAAGACCUGGAUGACCUACAGAUUCACAUAUCCUUACAAAAGUGAAAAGGAAGCAUACCACUCACUACAUUUUGAAUAUUGGCAUAUGGUUCAAGUUAUUGAGGCACCAGUACAACAUCUCCAAUAACCUGCUUAUUGGUGCCAUAAACACUGAAAACAAUAAAUGCCAACUCCUUAGGUAAUGUUGUCACCAGGAGAAGGCCCACUACUGUAAGAAACAUGCCAUCAGAUAGAUGGUUAUCAGAGAUGAGAGCCAUGGCAAGCUGGGAGCAUAUACCACUAGAACCCUGCCACCUUGGGAGACAGGGCAUCAUCAUCAAGAGCUUUACCAGGAUCCAGGAAACUAGCUUCAAGAAACCAACCUGCUGUCCCUUACCUUUACUGACAUGACAAACUAUAAGAUCUACCCUGCGUGUAAUCUCAUCAUCCAAGGCUGGAAAGGCUUUGCCCUGUCAAGCCCCUCAAAUGUAUCAUCAAGAACUCCAAGAGGAUUCAGGAAACCAUCCUCCUGAACCACGAACUUCUACAAGACCCUGAUUCAAUGGUUCCAUGUUGGCAGUGCUCUGAACAGAAUGAUGGAGCUAUAGUACUGAGCUCUAA
Molecule: long non-coding RNA, 2205 nt
Filed under: Homo sapiens (human)
Lineage: Eukaryota; Metazoa; Chordata; Mammalia; Primates; Hominidae
Description: non-protein coding lnc-STK3-7:1
Source: RNAcentral